This 279-nucleotide ribosomal RNA is filed under the name uncultured bacterium. RNAcentral describes it as "partial 16S ribosomal RNA". It matches the Rfam family "Bacterial small subunit ribosomal RNA", at positions 506 to 784 of the family's 1533-position model. The record is from RNAcentral.
UGCCAGCAGCCGCGGUAAUACAGAGGGUGCGAGCGUUAAUCGGAAUUACUGGGCGUAAAGCGUGCGUAGGCGGUUAAUUAAGUCAGAUGUGAAAUCCCACAGCCCAACUGUGGAACUGCGUUUGAUACUGCCAAGCUUGAGGGAGUUAGAGGAAAGCGGAACUGAUGGUGGAGCGGUGAAAUGCGUUGAUAUCAUCAGGAACACCGGUGGCGAAAGCGGCUUUCUGGAGCUCUUCUGACGCUGAGGAACGAAAGCUAGGGGAGCGAACGGGAUUAGAUA